This 253-nucleotide ribosomal RNA is filed under the name uncultured bacterium. Its description in RNAcentral is "partial 16S ribosomal RNA". It matches the Rfam family "Bacterial small subunit ribosomal RNA", at positions 524 to 776 of the family's 1533-position model. The record is from RNAcentral.
UACAGAGGUCCCGAGCGUUGUUCGGAUUCACUGGGCGUAAAGUGUGCGCAGGCGGCCGAGCAAGUCGAGUGUGAAAGCCCCGAGCUUAACUUGGGAAUUGCGCUCGAAACUACUUGGCUGGAGUGUGGCAGAGGAAGGUGGAAUUCCAGGUGUAGCGGUGAAAUGCGUAGAGAUCUGGAAGAACACCCGUGGCGAAGGCGGCUCUCUGGGACGGUACUGACGCUGAGACGCGAAAGCGUGGGGAGCGAACAGG